Molecule: RNase P RNA, 329 nt
Filed under: bovine gut metagenome
Description: Bacterial RNase P class A
Rfam family: Bacterial RNase P class A
About the family: Ribonuclease P (RNase P) is a ubiquitous endoribonuclease, found in archaea, bacteria and eukarya as well as chloroplasts and mitochondria. Its best characterised activity is the generation of mature 5'-ends of tRNAs by cleaving the 5'-leader elements of precursor-tRNAs. Cellular RNase Ps are ribonucleoproteins.
Source: RNAcentral
GACGGCUAGAUAACCGCUCUUGUUUUAAUGACAGGGGAGGAACUUCCGGACUCCACAGGGCAGUGCGCCGCUUGAAAGAGCGGGCUGACGGAGCGAAAAUUCCGUCGGAAGGAAAGUGCCACAGAAAAUAUACCGCCCGCAAGGGUAAGGGUGAAAAGGUGCGGUAAGAGCGCACCGCGCGUUUGGCAACAAACGCGGCAGGGUAAACCCCGCACGGAGCAAGGCCAAGCCGGUCCAUACGUAGCCCGCGUUCGCGACCAAGUAGGCCGCCUAGAGUAAUGGUUAUCCGGCCCGCAAGGGCUGACAGAAUCUGGGGUAUCGGCCGUCUA